RNAcentral lists this ribosomal RNA (39 nucleotides) under uncultured Tulasnella. RNAcentral's name for it is "partial 18S ribosomal RNA". The record is from RNAcentral. Lineage: Eukaryota; Fungi; Basidiomycota; Agaricomycetes; Cantharellales; Tulasnellaceae.
UCCGUAGGUGAACCUGCGGAAGGAUCACAGUAAUCGUCU